AUGGUUCACGGCGGAGAGGAGGCGCUGAGGCGGCAGUACGCCAUCGGCGACGAGAUCGGGCGCGGCCGCUUCGGCACGGUGCGCCGCUGCCACUCCAACGCCACGGGGGAGGCGCUGGCCGUGAAGACCACGCCCAAGGCGCCGCUGCGGGACGCUCUCGACCUGGCCCUCGUGGAGCAGGAGCCCAAGCUGCACCUCCUCGCCUCCUCACCGCCCUGCAGCCCGCACGUGGUCGCGCUCCACGCCGCCUUCGACGACGCGGACGCCGUCCACCUCGUCGUCGACCUCUGCGCCGGCGGGGACCUCCUCUCCCUCCUCUCAGCCCGCGGCGGCCGCCUCCCCGAGCGCGAGGCCGCGCAGCUCGCCUCCGCGCUCGCCGCGUGCCACCGCCGCGGGGUCGCGCACCGCGACGUCAAGCCCGACAAUCUGCUCUUCGACGCCGCCACCGGCGCGCUCAAGCUCGCCGACUUCGGCUCCGCGGGGUGGUUCGGGGACGGGCGCCGGAUGACCGGGCUCGUCGGCACGCCGUACUACGUGGCGCCCGAGGUGGUGGCCGGCAGGGAGUACGGCAAGAAGGUGGACGUGUGGAGCGCCGGGGUGGUGCUCUACGUGAUGCUCUCCGGCACCGUGCCCUUCUACGGCGCCACCGCCCCGGAGAUCUUCGAGGCCGUGCUCCGCGGCAACCUCCGCUUCCCGCCGCGCGCCUUCGCCGGCGUCUCGCCCGAGGCCAAGGACCUGAUGCGCCGCAUGCUCUGCAAGGACGUCUCCCGCAGGCUCUCCGCCGAACAAGUCCUCAGGCAUCCGUGGUUCGCGAGCUGCGGUGGAAAUGCGGUGGCAGGCUGA
RNAcentral lists this ribosomal RNA (843 nucleotides) under Triticum aestivum (bread wheat). Its description in RNAcentral is "partial small subunit ribosomal RNA". The record is from RNAcentral. Lineage: Eukaryota; Viridiplantae; Streptophyta; Magnoliopsida; Poales; Poaceae.